Molecule: ribosomal RNA, 425 nt
Filed under: uncultured bacterium
Lineage: Bacteria
Description: bacterial SSU rRNA
Rfam family: Bacterial small subunit ribosomal RNA
Source: RNAcentral
GUGGGGAAUCUUGCACAAUGGGGGAAACCCUGAUGCAGCGACGCCGCGUGAGUGAUGAAGCCCUUCGGGGUGUAAAGCUCUUUCGGCAGGAACGAUAAUGACGGUACCUGCAGAAGCAGCUGCGGCUAACUACGUGCCAGCAGCCGCGGUAAUACGUAGGCAGCAAGCGUUGUUCGGAAUUACUGGGCGUAAAGAGUGUGUAGGUGGUUGGGUAAGUUUGGUGUGAAAUCUCCCGGCUUAACUGGGAGGGUGCGCUAAAGACUGCCUGGCUUGAGUGCGGGAGAGGGAAGCGGAAUGCCUGGUGUAGCGGUGAAAUGCGUAGAUAUCAGGCGGAACACCGGCGGUGUAGACGGCUUCCUGGACCGCAACUGACACUGAGACACGAAAGCGUGGGUAGCAAACAGGAUUAGAAACCCUUGUAGUCC